RNAcentral lists this ribosomal RNA (253 nucleotides) under uncultured bacterium. RNAcentral's name for it is "partial 16S ribosomal RNA". It matches the Rfam family "Bacterial small subunit ribosomal RNA", at positions 524 to 776 of the family's 1533-position model. The record is from RNAcentral.
GACGUAGGGCGCGAGCGUUGUCCGGAUUUAUUGGGCGUAAAGAGCUCGUAGGCGGCUUGUUGCGUCGACCGUGAAAACCCGGGGCCCAACUUCGGGCUUGCGGUCGAUACGGGCGGGCUAGAGUUCGGUAGGGGAGACUGGAAUUCCUGGUGUAGCGGUGAAAUGCGCAGAUAUCAGGAGGAACACCGGUGGCGAAGGCGGGUCUCUGGGCCGUAACUGUCGCUGAGGAGCGAAAGCGUGGGGAGCGAACAGG